This is a long non-coding RNA of Passer domesticus (house sparrow), 12456 nucleotides long. RefSeq lists it as uncharacterized. NCBI's taxonomy places the organism in Eukaryota, Metazoa, Chordata, Aves, Passeriformes, Passeridae. The transcript is spliced from 3 exons. The record is from RefSeq and is a predicted model, not a curated record.
GGAAUCUCAUUUAUUGGUUUCAUGGAUCUUUGCAGGCUGUGACUGUGACCUCACUGUGUUGGGUUCUCUGCAGACACAGAGCAGGAGCUGUGCCCUGCUGCCAGCAGCACAGGGUGGCUUGGGGUGAAGGGAAAGGAAAAGGGAAAAGGGGAAAGGAAAAAGGAAAAGGGGAAGGGAGAGAGGAAGGGUAAAAGGAAAUCUUCCCAUGAGAAGACUCAACAGCAAAGCAAUGGCCAGUUCUUGGUCCUAGCAGUGCCAGCCAAUUCCCCCUGCUGCUGCACCAGCUGCAGAAUUGGACUUCCAGGGCAGGAAUUUCAGGAAUGAAGAAAUACCUGGUGUCAUUCAAAGCAGCUAAGUAGAGAAUCCCUGACUGAUGACAGACAUUUUCUUCCCAUAGCUACUGACCUCCUAUGUUCACCCCUUCAAAUUCCCUGGCAAUAUUAAUUACACACCUCUUUCCAAACCCACUGGGCCAAAUCCUGAUCACAAGAACUGAAACAGGCAGAGGAAUGUGUCAUCUUGCCAGUCUCAAACGAGAUGUGGCUGGGGAAACACAGCUCAAACUCAUUGUCAAACCCACACCAAGCUGUAGUGCAACCACAACCACCAGCCAGGGAUGAAUUAACAACCACUUUCCUAAUUGUUACUGCCUUCUGAGGUCACCCUGUAAUCCCAGGCUUUGGAAUCUGAUCCAGGGCCCACUCCAGCCUUUGUGAGUCUUUCCAGAGAGCUGAACAAAACCUGGUUCAAGUCCCUGAGAGUUCCUCAUGUGUCAGCCUAAUCCAAUGAAAUGAAUCUUUGCUUUACCCCAGCUGCCAGGUACCGUCCCUCCUGUGAGGGUCUUACUUUGGUACAGAUCCCUCAUAUGUUUCCUAUACUCCAAGAGUCAUUUACUUUUAACACAAAAUCACUUGUUUAUUAAAGGUCUCCAUUUACAGCAAAAGAACACUUUUUAAAUUCCCAUUAAACUGAGAACCAUGACGCUGGAAGCCAAAUUAAUUCUCCUACACCAAGUUAAAAAUGAUCCCCUAAAUGUUAUGAUGCCUGCCAUGUUUAGUUUCUAUAUUUAUACCUCAGGCAUACAGUUACUGACAAAACUAAAGGCACUGAUAAGAUCUCUCCCAGAAAGCAAGAAUUUCCUUGAAAGAAAACAGACUGCAGGAUUUUAGUGUUGGAAAUCUACUGAAUGUAGAUAUAUAAAAUAUUUUAAGAGCCAAAUAGUCAAGAUCUACAAGCCUGUGGAGUUGCUCAAAAUUUUGUUAAUGAAUUUUACAUUGCUGGCUUCUUAAUGAACUAAUGCACUAAAGGGAGAGAAGCUUCUGGAACAAAAACUAGUAUGGGCAGAAAAAAGGGGAAAGAGGGAAAGGAAGAGGCUGAGGCAAGAGCAGAGGGUGAAGUGAGAAGUCAGGUCAUAAGCUGGACCUCAGAGGGGAUGGACUCUUCCUGUGCAUCUGCCUCGCUGCCCCAGGUAGCCAGAGGGACUUUCCCACCAACAAAUCACUUUUUGGGAAAUACCUUCUCCCCAGGCAAGACUUCUAUGCUGCUGCCUGCAAUGAAGGGCCCGUGCAAGGCAGUGGCACCAGGAUCCUCAGAAAAGCAGCUUUUCAUUCCACUUGUCUCACUAAGUGAGCAGUCUGGCCAACACUGCUGUCCAAAGGCUGAGCACAUUCCUGGCUGGUGUUCAGCUUUUACUCCAAAAUUCCCCUACCCUCAAAUCUAGUUUCAAUUUUACAGCUCCUGUAAACCUUGUCUCACGUGUUUUCUGAGUGUUAAAGGUGUCACAGUGUUUUCCAUCACUGCUGUACAAUACUGAGUAGUUCACAGAGCUGGCUGAAAUGCCAUUUCCCCCAUUACAUUCAGAGCACAGACAAAAUCUUUCCUUCUAUUUGAAAUAUUAUUUUUCAAGUUCUUAUAAAGGCUAUGAACAUAUUUUUUUUAAGUAACAGAAAUGCAGCUUUCUGAGACAUCCAAUUUUUCAUCUAGUCACAUAUUUCAUGUUAUAUUUGGAUAUUAUUUACCUGUUUCAGCAUGCUGAAUGUCUGUGAGUUUUCUACACUUCAGACAUCUCUGAUGCCAUGGUCUGACUGUAACAGCUCCCUCAGCCCACUGACAACACUAGGAUGGAAGUGGCAACAGGGCUAAAAUUUUUGUUUAAUCCUUUUGUUUAAAAUCAUCCACAAUGUCAGAUAGAGGAGACAAGAAGGCUUCAUUCCCAUAGUGGAAUCUGUCUAAAAUCCAAUGACACUGGAGCUAUUCUGGACCUCUGAAGAUGCUUUUGUUUGGAUUCUUGGCUGCUUUCCAGCCACUCCAUCUUUUCUUGCUGGACACUGCUCCACAGCUUGCAAACAGAGAUGCUUCUUCCCAUCUUAUUUCCUAUGUUGUUUCAAGCAUUCAUUUUACUUAUUCUUACUGGGAAGUGUUUGGGGCUGAACUAGAAAAGGAUAAAUUCUUCUUCAGCCUAAAAAUACUUAAGUGGUCUGUAGGCUAGCUUAAAAAGCCCUAACAUUUCCAUCUCAAACCCUGAACCUAGCCAGAGAUCACAUGCAUGCCUUUAUUAAAUAUAAAAUGCAGGACUAAAAUAUCAGCUAAAAAGGGUGCCUUUGGCACCAAGGCCAGGAAACUCUCAGGAAAGCUUUUCUUCAGUACACUCAGAGCACCCAGCAAUUGCCAGGGGUGGGUGUUCUCUAAACUUCCUCCACUUGUAAAUAAUGUAUUACUGGAGCAGAAUGUUCUGAACAGAAAUACACAGUUUUGAUUGACACCUGCAGUACAGCAACUUCUUCAAGAAAUGCUAUUUCUCUGCUCUGUGGAUGGAUGUCUCUAGAACCCCAAAAUAUGGCAACCUGCCUCAUCCUUACCAUGUCUCUGGAAUUCUUUUCUCAGUGUUGCUUCCUGACUUCAUUGCCCAGGCCACACAUCAGAGAAGCAGAAACAUAGUAAAGUGCAAGAGCUAAAUAGUUGCUAGGUUUUGCCACAAAUAAAUUUCAGCCUGACUGUGAAAAAUAGCCUAUUUCUGUGUGGUAUUUUUAACACCUAACCAACAGCUAGAACAUGGUAAGACCCUGGUGUCUGGGGACUCUGCAUUCCAGAGACAUAAAACAUUUAGUCCUGAGGUUUCCCUCCAAGCCUUAAUAAAGAAAAGUGUGGUCUAAAAAAAUGAGAUCUUGUAUGUGAUUUUAUACACCACAGGGUCAUCUGUGGUUGGAUGCAGGGAUGUAAUUCAGGACCAUCUCAUUUCAGGUUGAUGUGAAACAUGGAGCUGGGAGGAUGAAGCAACUAAGAAUUGCAACUUUUUAAGCAGCAGUUAAGUCAAUCCUUUUAAACUUUACUGGGGAUUUACUUCAGGAGAAGCUUAUUUGUGUGGUGACCACAUCUCUGCAAAAUCUUGGCUUCAGAUGAUGAAACAUGGGAUAGGUUGAACACAUAUUUUGUUGAACAUGUGCCAAGGAACAUGUAGAUUUGACCUGAGUAAUAUUUUCAGAUAGAAAACAUGCACAGGCUGAUAACAGUGCAAAGUUUUGACCUCAGCUACCAAAGCACAUUUGCUGACUUUGACUGACUUUCUCUUUCAGAUUUGGAGCUUGAAGCCCAACACAGGUUGAAUGUAUACAAAGCAAAAGUGGGAAAAAAAUAACAUUUGCACAGAACUCAGCAAACUGACCCACACUCAGCUCUAAUGAGAACAUAAUGGUUUAUCCAGCUGCACAAAACAGAGGAAAGAAGCAUAAGAGGCAUGCCUCUGCUUUCUUGAUUUUUUAAGAUAUGUUUGGACUUCAGCACACAUGGGAGAUUUUUUUUUUCUGAAUGCAUGCAUGUACACUUCUAAAAGUGCACCACUAGCAUUUUAAACCACAUUAGAACAUCCUUAAGCCAGAAUGGAAGGUUUGAUUCCACCGAGACCAAUAAAAAAGAAAGAAUACCAACUCAUAAGACUGACUUUAUAAAUCUUGGGAUUACCCUGCAGUCUGUGGGGUAUCUUCUGUCUAACCUGCCAGCAGCCCCAGGGGGAUAGGGAUGGAUCAUGCCUUGCCCCUCCCCAGCAAACAGCCCGAGCCGUGAUUAUUGCGAGCUCUGGGAGACACACUGAGCACUGAGCCGAAAUGUUUGUGUGUGUCAGAUCAAUCUUUUCACUGACCAGGACAGCUGUACUCACAGGGGGACCACCAAUCAUCCCGCUAGGAACUGCUUCUGUCCUUCAACAGGCAAUUAACGUGAGUCCAUUACAGCUCCCCCGAGGCCCCCGCGGGGCUGCAAAAGGCAUCGACUGAAAGGUCAGAAACCUCAUGAGGACAGGGAAGAAGCUGUGCCUGGCGAAAUGGAGUGGAAAGCAGGAGCUAUUUGUCACCCGCUAGUAAUUCAAAAAAGCGGGGGAGGGAGAGGCUCGAAGGGGGUCCAAGCCUUGAGCACAACUGUGAGCACGUGGCAGUGGGAACAAGAGAAAGAGGAGCUGCAGGAGGUUCUUCUGGGACAAAGAUUUUAUCCAGUGUAGAGGUGGAGGAAGAGUCAACAGACCACAGCAGCAAACCCCACUCAACCAAUUCUACAAAGAAACUGGAAGUGAAAAAGUACCCAGGCUGAUUAAUAACCCACAGGAAAACUCUGGCAAGGAGUUCCCUGGGGACUGAGGUUCACCACUGACACAAACAUUUCAGGAGAGAACCAACAAGGAAUUAAGUGACCAGAAGCACACAGAGAGUGGCAUUCAUGAGUACCAACAUCUUUCAAAAAGAACCAACUGCUUCAGUCCAGUGGUGGAAAACCAACAAACAUGGUGGCUUGGAGGAUCUGUUACAGAUUGCUCUCUAUUUCUGUUUGGGAGUUCUGGGUGAGACCACAAAAUGAUUUGGUUGGACGUCUCAGGUGAAUCCCUGCACAAGACUCUCCACAUACACCAUCAAUCAACCCUGGCAGUUUUCCCAUGGAAAUGCAAUCAAGUGAUUGCCAGGUGGGUGACCAAAGGAGGAGAAUCAGCCUAUAUAGAAUAUUUAAUUUGCACACGAGUGCAAGGAAGAGUUAGACCAAAUUACUUAAUGCUGUUAAUUGUGAAUACUUUCAUCCAGUUCACUGGUUAACUUUCACCCACAGCACUCAAUGGGAAGUGUUAUCACUCUUGCUCUUUCCUGUGAUAAGAAUAUUUCACAGAGAUCUGGUAGAACCUGUGCAAUCAAUAGAACAAGCUGAAAUAUGGCAAAUGUUAAUUAUGCAACAACAGAACUCAAAAGGUGAACAACAAGAAUCUAAAUAGUGAAAAAUUGUCAAUUUCUUUGGACAUGAUUCUGAAUUAUUUGUGUAAUUGUAAUUUUUCUUGACGUACAAAACCUAGACUGUAAAAGAAAAAAGGGCAGGAGGAAGAAAUAAUGAACAAAUGUGUGUUGAUAUGUCCUGUCUUCAGAUUACUGUACAGGGACUGGAAACACCAUGAGCUCCACUGCCUGCAGACAGAAACAUGGUGGGCUUUGAUUCCAUCUGCACCAUCUCCAACAUGUCUUAGAUUACGUAAAAUUUCUGAAUUCUACUUUCACGCCAAAUAAAUUCUGGUGACUAUGUUCUUUGAGGAGAGAUGUGCAUCACGUGCCCAGAUUAUUUAUGAGGGUAUAAAAUGUUUGACCUUGCAGAGCACCCAUCACCCAGGGGCUGACAGGCCUGCAGGUCACUGAUGGGGGGGCUGGGUGUCCCACUGUCAGCUUUUCCAGGCCUCCUACCUACAGAGGGCCCAGGCAAGGGCAGGAAUAUCCCUGUGGAUGUCACCAUCCACUCAAUCACCUGGAGUCCCAGCAUCACAGGGAGGUCAUGGCAUAUUUCUUACCCAUUUCCACAGAAAAUUCUGCUUUCUAUCUCCUCCUCCUGUCUCUUAUCUUCUGGGUUCUAACUUAGUUUUCUCUCUGCCUUCAAUAUUUGAUGUGCACAUACACAGUGUGUGUGUGUGUUUAUAUCUACAUCUAAAUAUCUGUGCAUCUAUCCCCAAACUUUUCUUCCCCAGAUGAAGUUUAGUAAACACAUAUUGUGGAUUCAGGUAAACUACAAUUGCAGAAAACAUUUUGUUCUGAUAUUUACUGCCUCGCUCCCCUUUCCAAAAUGCCCAAGGGGUGGCAGGUGAGUUCAUUCCCGAGGGCUGCCUGCACUCCUCACACCCAGCACCACAGGGCUUUAUCCUCGGCAGCAGCAGGCUGAUGUUUAAAAGAAGCUGCCAAUUAGUAUCCAAGACACCAGUUAACAAGAUAGUUUCUUCUAAUGGCUCGUAUUGAUGAAUGAAUUAAUGAAAUUCCACAAGUUGUUUAUGUGUGCAGAGCACCGGUGUGACAGCCCUGGCAGCACAGGGACACUCAGCAGCCCAGAAGGUGACACAGGUCACCAGCCUGCCCCUCACACACUGUCUGGACAGUGCUGCAGGAGCCACCUGGGCACAGCCACAGCCCAGGGACCCCAGGGCAGCACUGCUGGCUGCAGUCACUCCAGGCAUGGCCCUGUGCUGCCCUUUAGGAAAGCUGGAAGAACAAAACUCUGGCAGUUUAUGGGAUAAACACAUCCAAAGUGCCAACACUGAGGGGAACUCAGUCUGUUUUGCCUUCAAAAUGACACUUUAAAGCUUCAAUGGUCAACCCACAUUUAUGCAGCCAGAAAGACACACAUUGAGAUGAGGAUAUUGAGGCAAGCUUGCUCUGCCUUUAAUUAGAAGACCAUUAAUAUCAAGUGCUCAAUUUUAUUUCCUGUCAAGAAAAGCUUCUACUUUUUAAGGGCACUUGAACUUUUCUAGGAGCACAAGUAGCAGCAUUCGAUUAGAACAUGGAGUAAAUACUGACAGCAUUAACAACAUUAUUGCCUCCUCAAGGCAGAUUGGAUAAGCAGGAAACAGAUUUUCACAUAUAUGCACCACUUUGCAUUGGUAGCAGAAGGUACAGAUACACAACUGUGUAGUGUCAAGAUCUGGGUCCCAGAAGAAGUUACUGCAGUGCUGCAACCUCACCCUGGCUGUGCUGAGUUUGUUUUGUCUUCCUAGGGAUAGUUUGGUUUGUUCAAAUCAAUAAAACAGUAGCUUUUUCCCAGUUGACUGAAUGUACUAUCAGAGAGCCAGAAACUCCACUCAGCUCUGGGAACUUUGCAGUGAAAUCUCAGAAAUGCAGCUGAGAUGCACCAGGGGUUUGAAGGCAGGGCCCAAGAAUGAGGUGCCCUAACUUGAUUUUGGCCACAACAAUGUGUACAAAAACAUUAAGACUGAAACAAGUAUGAGACGCACUAUGAUGCAUGUUUUAUUGACAAGAGAUCAAUAAAAUGAAGGAGAUCAUAAAUUUUGUGUACAAGCUAUCCAAGCUGUCUGUCACCUCCUGUCCUUCUCUUCCCUCCAAAAGAGAUACAGUCAUAAAACCUUAUUGAUUCAAGUCCUUCAUUCACUAUUUGGGGACAGUUCUUUGUGAACUCAACAGGCAUUUGUUUGAUUUAUCACAAAUUCAUUAGGGUUUUGAACACAUGACCAGUCCUGGAAAUGAAGUUGACAUAGCUUGUCUGACUGUGGACAUAAGAGGAAUUUGAGACUGUGGAUAAAUGAGAGUCUGUGGUGGCCAAAAAGCAGCAAUUACAUGUGAAUAGCAUGGGGGAGAGAAGCAACACAGUGAGAAAACAGAUAUGGCUAUUUUAUUUGAAUUUGAGUAUUUGAAGCAUGUUAAGGAAGAAAGCUUUUUACAAGGCAGGUGGUGAGGCCCUGGCAGAGGUUGUCCAGAGAGGUGGUGGCUGCCCCAUCCCUGGAAACAUUCAAGGUCAGUCUGGAUAGGGCUCUGAGAGACCUGAGCUAGUUCAAGAUGUCCCUGACCAUGGCAGGCGGUUGGACUGGAUGAUACUUAAAUGUCCUUCCCAGCCCUGCAUGUUCUAUGAUUUUAUUACAGCCUUCCUUAACCAGAAACCAACAUGCUUGAGGACAUAGCACUGUGCAAUCAGCCCUUCACAGAGAGAUGGAGGACAGAUUUGCAUUCAACUAACUGAUCAAAUGUUAAGAAUUUCUUAAUUGCCUUAAUAGUUUAAUUUUAUUUGUCUCUAAUCUAAUUAGUAAAGAGAAGUGUGCGUGAGGGGAGCUGAUUGAAGGGGAGGGGAAUGCCUUCAUGCCUACAAUGCAGAAACCUUCUGCUCCCUCCUGCCCCAGCCCAGACAGUGCAGGUGUCAACAGAUCCCUGUUUCCUCCUCAUUACCCCAGUGCCCUGCUGGACUGUCUGUUCUUGGAAACUUCCUUUGAAGCCUUUGAUAGCAGCAUUCAUUGCUGCUGCAGAUAAGGAGCCCAGCCUGCGAAGGAAUGACCAAGUGAGAGAGACCCAUCCUAGUGAUGAAAGCUGGCCAAGACAUCCAGGGACAGAACCUCUCCGUGCUGCUCACACAUGGACUGCUGAUGUACUCAGAAUUUAUUCACUUUUUUUUUCUCUCCUGUCUACACAUUCUACAACACUUCACAGUGUGGGAAACGCUGCAUGGGACUGACUUCCUGCCAGAUGCUGAACAUCCUCAGCUCUAGCUGCUCCAAGAGGCACCAGAGUGCCCAACCCCUCAGCUGAGGGCUCUGCAACACUCUGCAUGGACUGUUCCUUCUAAACAAUGGCCAUCACUGGUACCUGUACACAUGCACAGGGAAGGAGAUUCAUUAAUGGCUGGUCCAAAGGCUUUCUGUGCAGCCCAGCAUCGUGUCCUUUUCAUUUCAAAGCCAGCCUGUGAGAGAGCUGGGUUAGGAGGCAGCAGGAGAACAUCAUGGCAGGAAUAUUGGUGUAUUUUGGAUGCAAAGCAGAAGCUUAUCUGUUUUACUACUGCAGCACCAGAGAAAAUCAAUUUUGACACAGAACUGCCACUUUACAAGAAAAUAACUAUACUUUCCAAUAACCUAAUCUGUGCAAAGCCUACUGAAAAUUCCCUAAAGAACCAGUAGUUAAAACCUCCAUUAAAUCAAAGGGUUUAAUAUGGGAAGGGAAGAGAGGAUGCAGUUUGACUUGGGAAUGUAAUGGACUCAGUGGGGAAAUAAAUAUGUUGUUUUAUGUGUACAGUUACAGAAUUUGAGAACACAGCAUUCAUUUCAAAGGGAAUUCUCUUGCUGUGCAACUUAUUCCUAAACAGAUGUGAUUUUUGCUUAUUCAAAAACAUUUAGGUAACAAUUACAGCAUAAUAAAUUAUAAUUGCCAUCAUCUUCCAGCUAUGCUAUGACUUCUAUGCAAACACAAAGAAAAUGCAAUUAUAUAGAACUGUAAAUCCUAUUUUCAGGUAGCUUAGAGCACUGACAGAACACUUGUUUGUUUUCCUUAGAAUGAACAAUACUUUUAAAUAUCUAUCCAAAGGAAAAAGCCAUAUCUGCUAGGAGGCCUGCCAGCCUGAUAAGGUCUGUCUUACACAGCUCCUGCUCAGAGAGGGCCCAACCCUAAGGAAGUUCAUUAUCUUUUGGAAGGUGAUAUUUUACUCUUAGGUUUUAGAUUAGGAGUCUGCUUAAAUUAGUUUCUAAGCUGGUAUAUUAACUAAGCAAGGCAAGAUCAGUCUUCGAACACUGAAGGAAGAGAAAGUAACCAGAAACUGAGUGGAAAGCAGGAUUUUUAUGAUUGAGUAGUGCAGGAGAUCACACAAGAACCCAAGAGUUCAUAUAAACAUAAAUCAUUCUACAGCAUUUCAGAGAGCUGCAGCUUAGGGGUGGAAUUCUACAAGAUAACUCAAAAGUAAUCUCCUUGCAGUCUGCAACUCUUCAUUAAUUAACCUUCAUACCGUUGCUGGAUAUCACUAAAGUUUUACAGCAGUUGUGUUAGAAAUCAAUUAUAAAACACAACUUCAAUUAUAAAUAACCAAACAUUUAUAAAUGACAUCUGUUUGAAGCCUGAGUCUAAAAAGGAAUAAUAUACAUUCCAUAUUUAUUUAAUAAAGGAGACAUUGCAUGAACAGAAUGAGAGGCCGUAAAGUCCCUCAGUCAGUCACAACCCACAUCUACAUCAGGUGAGAUAAAGUCCUGCAGUGUGACGUGGAGAAACACCACAACUUGGCAAAUAUUUACUGGAAAAACACAGCAACAAUUCCAAGCUCUAGGGAAGGUCCCCAUUGAGCUCUGCUUCUCCCCAAGCUGGUGAGAACUCUCCUGAAGAAGACAGCCUCAUACUUGCAUCCCAAGGCUUCCAAAGCAAUAUUUCAGACCAACCUGAACCUCAGGAAGGAAUAUCAAGGCUGUGAAAGGGAUGCUGUCAAGCUAAGAGCUAUUUUAUCAGCACCAGUUUUAGAUAAAAAUGUUGCUUUUCUCCAAGAAAGAGCAGCAGGCCAAGGAGGAAGAAACUACCAUCACUGACAAAAUCCAGCUGUCCCCCAUCAGCACUAAGGUUUCCCUUUCCACCUCAUCUUUCAUCACUUCUUUUGUUUCCUUUAGAAAAAUAUUUAUCCUUAACAGGACGCCUGGGUUGCAUUUAACUUUCUACUGAGUAAAAUGAAAAUCAAGUUCACACUCCACUUUCAAGGAGAAGAGACGGAAGAUGGUGAAAUCAAACAAAAAAGUCUUUUAAAGACACUUUUUUUCCCAAGACCUUGGAAAGAGUUGAAAUUAGAGAAGACAGAGUAAAAGAAAACAUUUUAUAUGCUGGGUCACGUGGCACUACAUCUAAUGCUUUCAAAAACCCAUAGGGCAGAAUGACUGUCAGAAAUUAAUUUAAACAGUUGGUUAAUUGUGAUCCUUCACAAUCAUUAGUAACCACUGCAUUUAAAAGGCCCAGGAUUUAAUGGCCUGUUCUAUUUCAGAGCUAGAGCAGAGGAAUCCAUUCUCAAGGCUGGAGGAGAUUUUCAUAGUCUCAAACACACAUUAACUGGUCUGAACACUAAAUAAAUCCUGGAGAAACUGGGUUCCUCUGGAACUCCUGGAAUUUCAUCAACACCCAGGAGCAGUGGGCACAGCUGUAAUAUCAGUGAGAGGCAAGAGCAUAUCCCAGUUGUGUCCUGGCUUUGGUGCACACAUGGGUGCAGGUCCCAAAAGUGGCACAGAAUGAGACCCAGCAAGGGCAGAGCCAGGUGCUGCCAGUCCCUGGCCAGGUGGCUGCUCCAGACUCCUUCUUCAGCCACACUCAUAGUUUAAUGAUGGCAGGUGGCAGAAAUGUUUGUACUGGCAACUACAUGAAAGAGCAAAAUUUUUUCUGCAAAAUUUCCCAUUUAAAGAAUUGCAGGAUGCAUUUUUGAUGGACUUCUGAUAAACGUUAGCAAUCACAUCAGCAGCUGAAGCAGUAUCAAAACCACAAUAAUAUUGUCUGACUGGAUGCACCAGGAUGUUUUUCCUUCAGCCCAAGAUGUGGCUCUGGUGUUGAGGAGUUUAAUGCUGCUGUGCAUUUGGAGUUUGUCUCACAACCUCCUCCCUUUUAAUGUUCCUCAUUUUGUUCAUCUGCUCCACUUUCUGACGUGUCAGCAUCCUGCCUCAGAUGUGCAGGAGAUUGAAAGGUGUGCCCUGUGGGUUACGCUCUCCCUAAAUCAUCCAUGAUCUAUUCCGCUUGGCUUAAACGACUGAGUCUCAUUUGCACAAUUGCCCUAUUAAUUUACUCACCAUUGAUUUACAUGACUUUUGCUGGAAAUCCUCCACCAGACCUCUAUUUUACAUGCUCUCUCAAAAGCUCCCUUCCAGCUUUUUUCUCCCCCAUCAUGUUCCUUGUCUCAUUUCUCUUCCAUUUGCCGUCAUUCAUCUGUCUCUUAUCUUCUUCCUCCCUCUCCCUCCCACUGUUCUGUCUUCCUUCUGUUUCUUCUCUGUUCUCCUCCAUUUCCCUCCUCCCUGCAAGUCUCCCUCCUUGCUCCACAGCAGCUAAUAAAUCUACCAGGAAAGCCCAGAAGCCCCAGAAGAUACAGGUGUAAAGGCAAAGGAGCAUAAAUAAAUCAAGAUUCCUGGUGAAGAAGAGCAACAGCUGUGACUUCCUUUUGGCGAGUACAAAGACUGAUGGGUGACCAUCAUUAUCUAUCUUGCAGCACUUUACCUCGUCCUUGUGUCUUUUUGUCUUCCUGAGAGGAGCUCAGUCUUUCAGUGCAGAUUUUAUGGCUAUUUUCACCCUCUCAGCAGAUCACAUGCCCCUGGACUGGUGCCCUGAUUGCCAGUUUUACUAUGAAAACCAAACCUUUCCAUCUGAACAGACAACAGACUGCUGGGCUUUGAUAACAGGCAUAUAGAAGUGCAUGUAUACAUUAUAAAACAUAGACAAAUGUAACCAGAGAGCAGAGGCAUUUUCCAGCUCUCAUGACUGACUAUAUGCUCUGUGUGAAAACCAAUAAAUAAAUGCAGUUGUUUCUAAGCUAAAACUCUCAUUCAGUAUCUUUAAUUCAAAUUUGCAAAGGAAAAAAGGACUGAAGUGCAGAGGGUUAGACUAAGAGGACUACAAAUUUUAUUUAUAUAGUCAUAGUGGGUAAAUAAAUAACCUAACCUUAAUGCCACACUCUGCAGGGUAAAGGAGAGAGAAGAGCAUAGGAAAGAGAGGUUCAAAGAGCAGCAGACCCCAA